CGCGGGGUAGAGCAAUUGGUAGCUCGUCGGGCUCAUAACCCGGAGGUUGCAGGUUCAAGUCCUGUCCCCGCAA
RNAcentral lists this transfer RNA (73 nucleotides) under Firmicutes bacterium ASF500. It matches the Rfam family "tRNA". Rfam says of the family: Transfer RNA (tRNA) molecules are approximately 80 nucleotides in length. Their secondary structure includes four short double-helical elements and three loops (D, anti-codon, and T loops). RNAcentral also lists the same sequence under 3 other names. Lineage: Bacteria; Bacillati; Bacillota. The record is from Rfam by way of RNAcentral.